CAGGUACACGUCAUUUAUUCCUCCCCGAAAAAAGAGGUUUACAACCCAUAGGCAGUCUUCCCUCACGCUGUAUUGCUCCGUCAGGCUUUCGCCCAUUGCGGAAAAUUCCCCACUGCUGCCUCCCGUAGGAGUCUGGACCGUGUCUCAGUUCCAGUGAGUCUGGUCGUCCUCUCAAACCAGAUACUGAUCGUCGCCUUGGUAAGCUCUUACCUUACCAGCAAGCUAAUCAGCCGCGAGCUUCUCUCUAGGCGGGUAAAUAUAAAUCCAUUUCACUGGAAAGCAUAUGGGGUAUUAGCAUUCGUUUCCAAUGGUUGUCCCCCUCCUAAAGGCAAAUUCUCACGGGUUACUCACCCGUCCGCCACUAAAGUUAAAAACUGUGGUACGACUGGCAGGUGUUAGGCAGACA
This 406-nucleotide ribosomal RNA is filed under the name uncultured bacterium. RNAcentral's name for it is "partial 16S ribosomal RNA". The record is from RNAcentral.